RNAcentral lists this long non-coding RNA (205 nucleotides) under Elaeis guineensis (African oil palm). RNAcentral's name for it is "long non-coding RNA (EGUI_LNC000425)". The record is from RNAcentral. Lineage: Eukaryota; Viridiplantae; Streptophyta; Magnoliopsida; Arecales; Arecaceae.
CUCCUAUUUUACUGUUUUUACAGAUGUUGAAGAAUUAAGAUGAUACAAGAUAUGAAUGGAAGAGUGAUCAGAAGUAGAAUCUUCAUACUUUUAUUUUAGGUUGAAAGGCUUAUUGAAUUUGAUGCAAAGCUUUUGAAUCGUUGUUGAAUUUAUUGAGAUAUUAAAGAAAAAAUUUAGGUCGUUAUAUUUUAGAUUUAAAUUGUUG